This 91-nucleotide transfer RNA is filed under the name bacterium. RNAcentral's name for it is "tRNA-Ser". It matches the Rfam family "tRNA". From Rfam's summary of the family: Transfer RNA (tRNA) molecules are approximately 80 nucleotides in length. Their secondary structure includes four short double-helical elements and three loops (D, anti-codon, and T loops). Further hydrogen bonds mediate the characteristic L-shaped molecular structure. tRNAs have two regions of fundamental functional importance: the anti-codon, which is responsible for specific mRNA codon recognition, and the 3' end, to which the tRNAs corresponding amino acid is attached (by aminoacyl-tRNA synthetases). tRNAs cope with the degeneracy of the genetic code in two manners: having more than one tRNA (with a specific anti-codon) for a particular amino acid; and 'wobble' base-pairing, i.e. permitting non-standard base-pairing at the 3rd anti-codon position. The record is from RNAcentral.
GGAGACUUACCCAAGUGGCUGAAGGGAUCAGUCUUGAAAACUGAAAGGUGUCGUAAGGCACGCGAGGGUUCAAAUCCCCCAGUCUCCGCCA